CAAGUCGCCGACACCCACAAAUGAACUCAGAUACCACCAUCAAAAGUAGGGUGGAGCUCUUGAAGAUGUCAGAUUUGAGAAGGGAAAAGGAGCGGAGCGGAAUGCGCGAGCUCUGCUUCCGGGCCUCCCCGAAACGCUUGCAGAAAGAUAGGUGCUUGGAUGGGAGUGGAUGUAGGAGCAGAGAGUGUUGCGAAGAGGGGAAGUAGUAUCAUCAUCUGCUGUGUUGCAGUAGUGAAGGGAUCAGACGUCGGUAUGGCAUCUGCUAGCCUGGGGAAUGGUGGAGUUGGCAGUUCAAGGUAUGUUAGACAAUAGAUAUGGCAUAAGUGAUAAGCCAUUUUCCCUCUCUGCAAGUGUUAACCUCACCUGUGUGGGAUUAUGAAAAGGAGGGGCUUUCUUUUGCUUUGCGUUGCAAGGGAUAGAGGGAGACUUAAUUUAUAUAUUAGCCUUAUGAGUUUACGGACCUUCUAAUAUUUCGUAGCGGGCCUGGAAGUGAUUUUCCGGGAACAGGAAAGGUAAUUGAGAUUAGUCUCUUAUUGGUUGAUCAUCCUCUAUAUAUUUGAUGAAGCUUCAACUGGCUUCUACUAGACAACCCCUCAUUUCUUUAUGGUAAUUGAGCUUCAUCUCUAAUUGUUUAUUGUCUGAUUAGAUUAUUAUAAUAUUUGGGUUGUUGGAUAUGUUGGAUUUGAAUUGAAUUUUUGUUUUCAUUUUUCAUGGUGAUGGAUUUUCGAAUGAAAUGCACUCAACCCUGAAUUCCAGUGGGGGUGGCUGAAGCAGCUGCCGGAUAUGACUUAUGGCAGCCAAGGGGAUCACUACAGUUUGGGAGUCAAAAUGACCACACUACCUUGUCAAGGGUUCAGAUCAUGCCGUCAGGUGAUAUGAGAGAGGGGGUUGGAUGGUAAUUUUGUCCAUAGGGUUUCGGACGGAUUGGGAUGGGUCAGGGACUUUGUUCAUUUAGUUUGUUUCUGAGAGAGAGAGAGAGGGGUGAGGAUGUCAGUGUCGAUCUUUGAUUCAGUGAGUGAGAGUGUGACGGUGAAAGAGAGGGGGAUCAUUGGGAUUUCAGGGAGAGAAACACAGAGAGAGAGGUGAUGGUGAACAAGCGCGAGUAUGGUCCCUUAGUCCGGGAGUCACUCUUCAUUGUCCAUACUGUAUUGCAUGCUCAGAUAAGUGUCUUUUUCAAUUACAUUUUGUACUAAAAUCUGUUUUUUUUUUUUAUUGUUUCUUGCAUUUAUAUCUGCGUGAAUAUGGUGAUUGAAAAGCCCAAAAAAAAAUUUCCAAAUUUUUUUGUACUGGUUUUGUUAGGUUAGGCAGCAUGGUUUUUGGUUAUUUUAUUGUGAUUUUUUUUAAUCGGUUGGGGGAUUUUCUGGGCGUCUAUUUAAUUGUUUGCCCUUUGGUUUUUUUCAUUCUGGGUUCCCCUCUUUCAUUAGAGAGUACAAAAUUUCCAAAGGUAAACAUCCUAUCCCUUGCUUCGCUUUUCUGUCCAUAGCCAAUAAUCGGUGAAAUAAGUGUGGUUCUUGGAUCUACGGUCUGAAACAAAAAAAUUUGUCUAUUCUCUGUGCCAGCUAAUGUAUCUAUGAUUUCUUUGCAGGACGCUACUGCAACGCUCAAGUCUGUUUGGAAAAUGGAGAGCACACAACUUAAGUAUCUCGGACCCAAGGUAAAAUGUAAUAAUCUCUGGCUCCCUUUACUAAUGUACGCUUGCAUGCACUAGAUCUGUGAAUUUAAAUUAUGCAUGUGCACUUUCUGUGCCAAAAGUUUUUAGAUCCGAAGCGGUCAUGAUGCUAAGUUAGGAAGGUUAAUUUUGUCCUAUGGUUUUGGGACGGAUUGGGAUGGGUCUAGGUGGCUGUCAUUCAAUGAGGGUUUGGUGAAUGAGAGCCAUGCCGCCUUUGCACAGAGAGAGAGGGAGGGAGUAGUAGGUUGUGUUUUAUUGUCUUCACUGCACCAUUAGUUUGAUUGCCUAUCCCUGUGUAUUUGAUUUUGUCUGGAAGAUGACUUCUAAUUCCUAUAAUAAUCAGAUACUCAAUCUUCAAUCCUGCUUAGUAGCAGCAAUCACCACCUGUUUCAUGAAAGGAGAACGAUUUAGAGCAAGUGACUCAAAAAGUUAAACUUCAAUAUCGAAAUUAAUGGAAACCCAUUGGUAUGAUUUCUUCAUCUGAAAUUUUUGAUUACCCAAUUGGUUGUUUCAUCAAUUAAUUGUGUGUAAACAUUUAUGUGUAAUUUUUUACUUCUUCCACUUAAAUGGUAAGAUCAAAUUAAGCUUAAGAACUUUGGGUUUUGUAAAUGUUGUGUAAUUGAAUUAUUCAUAUUGUCAAUUAAUUUUGAGCAAACAUUUAUGGGUAGUUGUUAAUUUCCCUCAAUAUUUGAUAAUAAUUAAACUAAAGCUGAGAACUUUGUAUUUUGUUCAUUACCUGACGUAGAUUUUACUUGACAGAGAAUGUACUUUCCUUGAUAUUAUUCAUGUUUUGUUUUCUUUCAUAUCGCAUUGUAAUGGGUCUCUUUGGAAAAACAAUUCUUAAGACCAAUUGUGAGGUUUGUUCUUACAUGGUACAUGAGUGUUUUUAUAAUUCUUUUGCACAGUUGUUAGUAUUUGUAGUUGUGAUUGGUGUUGUCCUACAUGUUUGACUUGAAGAAAUAAGACACUACUUUUGAUGAACCAUAUUGAGAGUGAAGGAAUCUCCUUUUGACCUGAUCAUGUUGGAGUACAUUUACACUAUGGAAAUUCAUGGACUCUUUUACUUGACCCUUUUUAUUUGUAUUUGUUAAUUACAUGACAAAGUUUUCGACCCGUCGCAUCGCGCGGGCAUGAAUCCUAGUUAUCUAUUCUAAAGUUGGAGGGGAAUUGGCACUGUUCAUGGCUACAGUCAAUUGUUUGCCCCUCAAUUUCACGCUAUUUACAACAAAAACCAUCAGAUCUGGGCUGGGUUGGGAAGGUAAUUCUUAAAAGUUAGGGGGUAAUUGUGUCCGUAGGUUUAGCCGAAUUUCACUUUAUUUACAAAAUUACCACCGCCUUUUCUUUCCGUCUUUCUCUCCCGACGCUCUCUCGAUAACCAUCCAUCAAAUCCCCCAUCCUCUCCUUUUCUCACUCUGAGCUCAUUUCCUAAAACCCUAGCACCGUUUCUCUCUCAGUUCCUAUCAAAUUCGAGAGAUUUCUCUCUCCAUUUCUCUCAACCUAGCCCCAGCGCUGCUCACCCCAUUCCUCUUCAUCAUCUCAGUUAAAUCCGUUGAACAAUCAACGAUGCACCUCCACACGACCCAUAUCGAAUUAUCCUCCUGCCCACGAACCAACCUCCAUUUCGUGGAUCCAUCAUCCUUGCAAGUCGCCGACACCCACAAAUGAACUCAGAUACCACCAUCAAAAGUAGGGUGGAGCUCUUGAAGAUGUCAGAUUUGAGAAGGGAAAAGGUAAAGUUUCGUACUUUAGUGUUUGAUCCUGAAGUAGAUUGAAUUUUCCCUCUCUCCGAUCCAAUUCUUCUCCUUCCCAAAUUUUCUGCUCAAAUCUAAAAAAUUCCAGGAGCGGAGCGGAAUGCGCGAGCUCUGCUUCCGGGCCUCCCCGAAACGCUUGCAGAUAGGUGCUUGGAUGGGAGUGGAUGUAGGAGCAGAGAGUGUUGCGAAGAGGGGAAGUAGUAUCAUCAUCUGCUGUGUUGCAGUAGUGAAGGGAUCAGACGUCGGUAUGGCAUCUGCUAGCCUGGGGAAUGGUGGAGUUGGCAGUUCAAGGUAUGUUAGACAAUAGAUAUGGCAUAAGUGAUAAGCCAUUUUCCCUCUCUGCAAGUGUUAACCUCACCUGUGUGGGAUUAUGAAAAGGAGGGGCUUUCUUUUGCUUUGCGUUGCAAGGGAUAGAGGGAGACUUAAUUUAUAUAUUAGCCUUAUGAGUUUACGGACCUUCUAAUAUUUCGUAGCGGGCCUGGAAGUGAUUUUCCGGGAACAGGAAAGGUAAUUGAGAUUAGUCUCUUAUUGGUUGAUCAUCCUCUAUAUAUUUGAUGAAGCUUCAACUGGCUUCUACUAGACAACCCCUCAUUUCUUUAUGGUAAUUGAGCUUCAUCUCUAAUUGUUUAUUGUCUGAUUAGAUUAUUAUAAUAUUUGGGUUGUUGGAUAUGUUGGAUUUGAAUUGAAUUUUUGUUUUCAUUUUUCAUGGUGAUGGAUUUUCGAAUGAAAUGCACUCAACCCUGAAUUCCAGUGGGGGUGGCUGAAGCAGCUGCCGGAUAUGACUUAUGGCAGCCAAGGGGAUCACUACAGUUUGGGAGUCAAAAUGACCACACUACCUUGUCAAGGGUUCAGAUCAUGCCGUCAGGUGAUAUGAGAGAGGGGGUUGGAUGGUAAUUUUGUCCAUAGGGUUUCGGACGGAUUGGGAUGGGUCAGGGACUUUGUUCAUUUAGUUUGUUUCUGAGAGAGAGAGAGAGGGGUGAGGAUGUCAGUGUCGAUCUUUGAUUCAGUGAGUGAGAGUGUGACGGUGAAAGAGAGGGGGAUCAUUGGGAUUUCAGGGAGAGAAACACAGAGAGAGAGGUGAUGGUGAACAAGCGCGAGUAUGGUCCCUUAGUCCGGGAGUCACUCUUCAUUGUCCAUACUGUAUUGCAUGCUCAGAUAAGUGUCUUUUUCAAUUACAUUUUGUACUAAAAUCUGUUUUUUUUUUUUAUUGUUUCUUGCAUUUAUAUCUGCGUGAAUAUGGUGAUUGAAAAGCCCAAAAAAAAAUUUCCAAAUUUUUUUGUACUGGUUUUGUUAGGUUAGGCAGCAUGGUUUUUGGUUAUUUUAUUGUGAUUUUUUUUAAUCGGUUGGGGGAUUUUCUGGGCGUCUAUUUAAUUGUUUGCCCUUUGGUUUUUUUCAUUCUGGGUUCCCCUCUUUCAUUAGAGAGUACAAAAUUUCCAAAGGUAAACAUCCUAUCCCUUGCUUCGCUUUUCUGUCCAUAGCCAAUAAUCGGUGAAAUAAGUGUGGUUCUUGGAUCUACGGUCUGAAACAAAAAAAUUUGUCUAUUCUCUGUGCCAGCUAAUGUAUCUAUGAUUUCUUUGCAGGACGCUACUGCAACGCUCAAGUCUGUUUGGAAAAUGGAGAGCACACAACUUAAGUAUCUCGGACCCAAGGUAAAAUGUAAUAAUCUCUGGCUCCCUUUACUAAUGUACGCUUGCAUGCACUAGAUCUGUGAAUUUAAAUUAUGCAUGUGCACUUUCUGUGCCAAAAGUUUUUAGAUCCGAAGCGGUCAUGAUGCUAAGUUAGGAAGGUUAAUUUUGUCCUAUGGUUUUGGGACGGAUUGGGAUGGGUCUAGGUGGCUGUCAUUCAAUGAGGGUUUGGUGAAUGAGAGCCAUGCCGCCUUUGCACAGAGAGAGAGGGAGGGAGUAGUAGGUUGUGUUUUAUUGUCUUCACUGCACCAUUAGUUUGAUUGCCUAUCCCUGUGUAUUUGAUUUUGUCUGGAAGAUGACUUCUAAUUCCUAUAAUAAUCAGAUACUCAAUCUUCAAUCCUGCUUAGUAGCAGCAAUCACCACCUGUUUCAUGAAAGGAGAACGAUUUAGAGCAAGUGACUCAAAAAGUUAAACUUCAAUAUCGAAAUUAAUGGAAACCCAUUGGUAUGAUUUCUUCAUCUGAAAUUUUUGAUUACCCAAUUGGUUGUUUCAUCAAUUAAUUGUGUGUAAACAUUUAUGUGUAAUUUUUUACUUCUUCCACUUAAAUGGUAAGAUCAAAUUAAGCUUAAGAACUUUGGGUUUUGUAAAUGUUGUGUAAUUGAAUUAUUCAUAUUGUCAAUUAAUUUUGAGCAAACAUUUAUGGGUAGUUGUUAAUUUCCCUCAAUAUUUGAUAAUAAUUAAACUAAAGCUGAGAACUUUGUAUUUUGUUCAUUACCUGACGUAGAUUUUACUUGACAGAGAAUGUACUUUCCUUGAUAUUAUUCAUGUUUUGUUUUCUUUCAUAUCGCAUUGUAAUGGGUCUCUUUGGAAAAACAAUUCUUAAGACCAAUUGUGAGGUUUGUUCUUACAUGGUACAUGAGUGUUUUUAUAAUUCUUUUGCACAGUUGUUAGUAUUUGUAGUUGUGAUUGGUGUUGUCCUACAUGUUUGACUUGAAGAAAUAAGACACUACUUUUGAUGAACCA
This is an RNA transcript of Pyrus x bretschneideri (Chinese white pear), 6068 nucleotides long. RefSeq lists it as uncharacterized. The transcript is spliced from 8 exons. The record is from RefSeq and is a predicted model, not a curated record. NCBI's taxonomy places the organism in Eukaryota, Viridiplantae, Streptophyta, Magnoliopsida, Rosales, Rosaceae.